CGGCGCUGAUGUAGAUCUCGAUGCGAUAAUGCGGAAGAGGAGGAGGGGGGCAGCGUGGAUCCGAAGCGACAGCGGCGGCUCAACGGAAAUCCAUCAUCGCCCGCCCCUUUCGGCUUCCGACAGGUCCCGGACGAAGCGAGAAUGAGAGAUUGGAGAGGGAAAUGGAGAUUAAGCAACUCAGAGGAGAGCUGCUGGCUCAAGCAAAACAGAAGGAUUCACUUAUGUAAUUUUUGUUACUGUUUGAACUGCUUGAUUCACUGGCAAACUUAGUUUGCUAAUGCUUUGGUUUCUCUCAGAAUGAUGUUAUCUUGCCAUUUUAUGCUGGCAAUAAGAUAGGGGGUCAUAUGUUGAACUUCCUCUCAUUAUCAUGUAUAAGCUUGACUUUUGAAUGGAUUUGAAAGUAUAUUAACUUUGCAUUA
Long non-coding RNA from Musa acuminata AAA Group (dessert banana), 419 nucleotides. RefSeq lists it as uncharacterized. The transcript has 2 exons. The record is from RefSeq and is a predicted model, not a curated record. NCBI's taxonomy places the organism in Eukaryota, Viridiplantae, Streptophyta, Magnoliopsida, Zingiberales, Musaceae.